Trachemys scripta elegans is the source of this 4045-nucleotide long non-coding RNA. RefSeq lists it as uncharacterized. The record is from RefSeq and is a predicted model, not a curated record. The transcript is spliced from 4 exons. Lineage: Eukaryota; Metazoa; Chordata; Testudines; Emydidae.
CCAGGAUAGAGUCCUCCAUCCUGUAAGUAUGGCCGACAUUCUUUAUUCCCCAAAUUGACUUACAUGUAUAAUCUGUCUCUUACACAUCACUGAGGAUUUCCUAAAUGGGAUCAGAAUCAAGCCCGUGGUUUGCAGCUGGCAGUGGGCCUUGGAUUUCCCAUUCUAACCAGAGGCUCAAGUGAUGUAAUAGAGGGAGUUAUCAUAAAUCCCUUGUCUAAAUUCCACCACCAGAUUAAAGGGAGGUUUGGGGCUGAUUGCCCUGUCUCUGUUAGCAUUCAGCCCUUCUCUGGGUACAACUAAAUCAUCCCAGCUAGGUGUGAUUCGUAUCCACAGGGCUCAUUUAAAAAAAUAGUCUCUGAAAAGCAAUUUUGUUGCCUUUGGCCUGCACCGGUGUCAGGGAUUUUAGAAAAAACAAUGCCCUUGGGAAGGUUAUCCCAGGAUUCCUCUGCAAGGUCUUCACCCUCUGUUUCAUAUUGCACAGCUUCAGUGGGGUGCUCUGUGGGUGUGAACAUGUAUGAAUGAAGAAUGAAGUUUAAGCGUUUCCAGCACAUGGCACUUAAAUCAAGUGUCUUUGCCAAGUGGUUAGGCCUCCCUUCUUGGCUAGGGUUAAGAGAGCGUGUUUGGAUUUUAAGUGGCAAAACCAGUUAAUAGAUUCCUUCCUGCAUCCUCCCUUGUCUUUGCAGGGCGCGCACACACAGACCCCAGGGGUUAUCAUAAAGGUAAAGGGAGAGGAGGAGAGACACAUCUGGGGAGUUCCUUGUUAAAAUACAGGUGACCUAUCACUAGGGCCUCUUGUAAUUCUGGAGGCAAAAUGUCACGUGACACAGAUGCUGCCCCACAUACCAUGCGACAAGAUGGGGCACUGCCCCAUUUGCCACCUGUAAACUCAGUGUUACUCUCGUUGGUGCCAGCGCUGGCUUAACGCUAGUGUGAUUCUCCAUUGACUUCAGUGGAGUAACUCCUGGCUUACAGAGGUGCAGUGACAUCAGAAUCAAGCCCAUGGAUUUCAGCCAGUGAUGGGCCUCCCCGACUUGUGACUCUAGAGGGCAGCAGGGAGCUGCUGUAUGGCUACAUCUGGGGGGAUUGUCUGCUGCUGAUGGAGAUGAAGAUCAGUGACCUGAAGCUGGAUUUCUUUAUGGUGAAUUACUGAAAAUGUGCUAUGCCACCAGGGAUGCCCCCCCCUUUUUUGGGGGGUGGGGGUGGAUUUUGUUUUGGUGGCCAAAAACUAUUUCAGAAACAUGGUAUUGUGUAUGGCCUGUAGCAACUAAAGGUCCCAUAGCAUUUUUUUUAAACAGGAAAGGAAUGUUUAUGUUGGUAUCCUGGCAAAAUUCCCAUAUGGGUAACUACAUUCUAUCUACCCCAAAAUUCCCCAUGCAGCAUCAGCGGGAUGUAGCACUGAUUUGUUGUGUAGAGUGGUUAUGCACUGUUAUAACAGUUGCCACGUUCCACUCCAGAGACAGCUGCAUUGUUUGUUCUGGUAGAUACAUAAUUGACAAAGUGCUUUGGAAUGGAGGUAAAUUUAAGGUAUUAAUCUAGUCAAGAGAAUGAUUUGCUAUGCUGGAGAAUGUUUUUCAAUUAUUUCUCCCCAGGGGUUCCUCCCCAAAUUGGCUUGUUUGAUAAUCUUGGUCCAAGAAAACUCUAGAGAGAAGAGACUUCUUGCUUCUGCUCCAAGGUGGUUGUGGAUCUGACUUCUCUUUCAUCAAGAGCAAGGACUCUAGGAAAAGCCCCUUCUCCCCCACAUCUCCAUGCCUGGAGGCUUCCCAGCUCUGAUCUGAAGGGACUUACAUUUCACCUCCAUACUGAGGGAAUGAUGUCUCUAAUUUCACCUCCCUUCCUCUGCCGAGGCUGAGUAUCAUUUCAUAAAAAUAACACAGAAAGCAACUAGACUCUGGGAAAAAAAAAUAAUUAUGGGAAAAACAAAUCAGUGCCAAAGGGGCUUUUGUGAAAAUAUCAGGUUUGGAGAGAAGGCUGCUGAGUUUGGGACAUGCGCCCUUCUGUCCUUUCGCUGGGCAGGUUAGGUCUGCAAUACAAUCUCAAGCAUGUUUAUUUCCUUUCAAACCUCUGGCUUCCCAUGGAAAUGCUACCCUCCCCCAUUUAUUAGGAAGUGUUUGGGUAUCUUUUCCCUCUUUGUGUUCAGUGUGUGUGGGGGGGAAACACAUUAUUAUGCUUUAUUUUCUCAAGAGUUUUCUCUCUCAGCCCUGUUUUUUUUUAUGUGCUCCCAAACGUCAUCACUUGAGCCGUCUGCCUCUGCUAGCCCCUUUAUCCCACUCUUAAUCUCAUCUGUAGACUGCAGAAUUUGCAGGGCAAGUUUGUUUGAUCAUUUAUUUGUAAAUUCCUCCAUGCAGGGCCUCAUGUCUGUCUGUCUCUCUUGUAAAGCGGUGUGUGUACAUUGAUGGCACUAACAAUAAAUCUGUAGGAGAGGGAAUUUUGAUCUUACUCGGUCAAUCUUUGGUCUCUCUGUGGAGAUAGUGCCAUUUGUGAUGGGAGUUCAUGUGAUGUGGAUGUGCAUUCAUUAGGAAUUGGACAGCAACUCACCAGCUGACUUCAUGGGGGGUAAUAACUUUUGGUUAGGAGGCCAGAUUUGAACCACCAAACUAGAGAGGAAAGGGUUCAUGUUUUAUUAGCAAUCUACCAUAGUCACGCCUCCGUAAUGAUUAGCGCUGAUCAGAAAUGUUCGGAUGAAACCGUUUAGUUUGAAAAUGCCAAUUCAUAGAACCCCCAGGGUUUCUUGGAACCAUGUUGGAUUCAAUGGACUUUCAGCAAAUCAAGGGCAGGGUUCAAUGGGAAAUUUGCGUGGUUUCCUGCCAACUCACUGGGUGGGCUGCUGGGGGAGCUUCCUCUUCCAGUUUCCAGGCUCUCUGCCAUGGAGUAGGAAGUGUGGAAGUCCUGGGAUGAGCUCACACAGUCCAUGGGUGUGGGACUCAGGGGCCAGCUAGGAGUCCAGCAGCUGCUGAGUGAAAUUGACAUUUAUUACUGAGACAAGAUGGAUGAAGUAAUCUCUUUUGCUGGACCAACUUCUGAUGGUGAGAGAGACAAGCUUUCAUUCCUGCGAAUACAGAACAAAACCACAUUUUGAAAUAACAAAAUUUCCCGUGAACCGGAAAUCCCACAUUUCAGCCAGCUCUAACAAAGAUGCAAGAAUCUUACUUGCUAGAGAUGGAGAAGACCAAUAAGAUUCCAUUCAGCCCAGUUCCCAGAGGGCCAGUGCAGAGAGAGGCCUGAACGUGCGGUCAAGUGCACCCGAGAGGUUUGGAAACUAGAAGUCAAACAAAAAACCCCAAAUGUACAAUUAUUUUGUCUCAGCUGCCAUGUCAGUCCUUGGUGUUCCCAUCCCUCCCUGAGCUGGCUGCAAAAUGAAGAUAAGCGCUGGACCGGAAGCCAUAUAAUAAUAAUACUUCGUGCUAGAGUGGGUCAGAAAUGGGUGUCCCUCCCGCACCCCCACGACAGGAAAAUUUAGACUUUUUGUUGAAACAUCAAAAACCGCAAAAGAGAAUGUGGCUGAAAACUGCUUAAAAAAAAAAUGAGGGCGAGAAAUGGGGAUUUGUGUUCAUUUUUCCAACCAACCAAAUAAAUAAAUCCACAUUUUUUUUUCUGUAGAGACUUCCAUUUAGUCAAAAACCCAAUUUCCCAUCCAAAGACGUUCCAGCUGAAAACUUUCACCCACCCCUGCACAGCUCUUACAAAUCACCUUUUAUCCCUGGAUCUCGGAGUGCUGCCUCUGAGAAUUAGUUUGCCCAGUCCAGUGCAUCCUAUGCAUCUUCAUUCCUAUGCUGUUCAAUCCAUGAGCAAAUCUGUUUAUUUGUGAUUACAUUUGCAUUCCAGUAGGAGUUAGAGGCCCCAGCCUCACGUACCAGGUGUUGCACACAGGUAAUCCCUCCUCUGUUUGCUUUUUCUGCUCUCUGUUAAUGUCCGUCUUCAUUUGACCCUGCAAGUCAGUGGAAGUGAAUAAGCCAGAGGAUUGACUACAUGGUGUCAGUUUACUCAUGGAUAAAACUGAACUGAGGCUCUGAACUGAACCUGCGUUCUAAUCCUAGCUCUGACUUUA